UUCCUCCAGUGUUUUCAUCUUCAAGGAGCAUGGUCAAUGUGCCUCCUCUUACCCCUGAAUGUGCAAAGACAAUUGAUAUUGUCACUUUUCUGAGCAACCUUCAGAAAUGUGUGCAUGUGGUGGAAGGAAACAACCACAAAGAAAAGAACUUUUACAUUCAGGGGAGAACAACAUGUCAAAAUUCCUUAAACCAUGAUAAAUGUACCAAAAUCAUCCAGCUCUAUCCAAACAGCGUGAUGGAGAUUCCACAGCUCCCUCAAGCAACUGGUUCCAGUUUCAGUUUGUGCUGACAGUCUUGCAGCAGAUCUCGCAGAAGAUGAAAAGAGUAGGAAGAUGCAUCCCAGAAAACUGUGAACGAGCUAAUGAAGAAGCAGAAUGUGACAGGAGGUUGCAAACUAGGUGUCUGCAGCUUCACAUGUCCUUCUGGAACAGAUAUUUGACUCCUGACAUGCUGAGACCAAGAAGAGACCUGCUGUAAUAUGUAAAUGUUGGCUGCACAUGGCAGCUGCCCCUCACCUGGGAACUCCUGUUAGACAAUACCACUCUGUUAGGAGGUGUUAAGACUUUAGUCUGUAUUCACAGGAGGCUCUAGCCUGGAUACACCUGGCUUAGCUCACACACCCCACCUGCAUCCCAGGUAAGCCUGUUCUUGGACCUGUUUGUUGAUUUGUUGACAGGCAGGAUGCAGGAGUGGGAUUCAUUCAGUUACAUUGAUUUCUGUAGCACAGUGGAUAUUCAGAUGUGUUUCAUCUCACUCCAAAAUAGACGGGUACAUUUUUUACCCUCUAAAACUCCUCAGUCUUAUUAACUCCAUCUUAAUUAAUUCCAAGGAAGCCCAGGGUAACUUACUAAGAAGUCUACCCUGAAGUCAUCUGAAGUUAGAUAAGGUGACUCCUGCCACAGGCUUCAAAUUCCUUUAGCAUUUCAGCAUGUUUACUAGCCUUGGUAACUCUCUGUCCAGUGACUAAAAGUACAAAAUUGAGUUGCAGGAGAACUGGA
Columba livia (rock pigeon) is the source of this 999-nucleotide long non-coding RNA. RefSeq lists it as uncharacterized. The transcript is spliced from 3 exons. The record is from RefSeq and is a predicted model, not a curated record. NCBI's taxonomy places the organism in Eukaryota, Metazoa, Chordata, Aves, Columbiformes, Columbidae.